UUUAUAUUAUUGUACUUUGCAUAAAAAUUUUUGAAAUUUUAAGUAAUAUUUUUAUUAUAUAAAG
Molecule: transfer RNA, 64 nt
Filed under: Acerella muscorum
Lineage: Eukaryota; Metazoa; Arthropoda; Protura; Acerentomata; Acerentomidae
Description: tRNA-Gln
Source: RNAcentral